This 657-nucleotide long non-coding RNA is filed under the name Pongo abelii (Sumatran orangutan). RNAcentral's name for it is "lincRNA". The record is from RNAcentral. Lineage: Eukaryota; Metazoa; Chordata; Mammalia; Primates; Hominidae.
AAAUAAAUAGAUUUUAUAAAAUUGUUUUAAAAAGUGAGACAAUAGUCAUGAGUAGCAAGGGGGUAAGUUUCCUAGAGCCACAAAUUUCAUGGCUUAAAACAAUGUCAAUUUAUUCUCUUACAGUUCUGGAAGCCAGAAAUUUGAAAUGAGUCUUAUGGAGCUGAAAUCAAGCACACACCAGAGCUGGGCUUCAUCUGGAUGCUCUAUGAAAGAUUCCUUUGUUUGCCUCUUCCAAUUCCUGGUGGUUGCUGGCGUUCCUUGCAUUGUAGACUCGUCAUCCCAAUGUCUUCCUCCUUGGCCCCUUUGCCUUCUCCUCUCCUGUGUGGGCAUCAUCAACUCUCCCUUUCCCUCCCUCUUAAAAGGAUAUGAAUGUGACUGCUUUAGGACCUACCUGGAUAAUUCAGAAUAAUCUCCCCAUCUCAAGACCCUUAACAUAAUCACAUAUGCAAAGAACUUCUCUUUUCUUUAAUCAUAUGACUUAACAUGUACAAAUUUCAGAGAUGAGAACAUGGAUAUCUUUAGGGCGCCAUUUUUUCAGUCCAUUGGAAAUGGUAGAUGUGGAAGAAGAGGAGCUAAAAUUCAAUCAGACCGGGGGUCUGCAAUCUGUAGCCUGCAAGUCAGUGCCUGUUUUUGUAAAUAAAGUUUUAUUGGAGCACA